GACGAACGCUGGCGGCGUGCCUAAUACAUGCAAGUCGAGCGCAGGAAGUCAUCCGAACCCUUCGGGGGGACGUUGACGGAAUGAGCGGCGGACGGGUGAGUAACACGUAAAGAACCUGCCCUCAGGUCUGGGAUAACCACGAGAAAUCGGGGCUAAUACCGGAUGGGUCAUCGGACCGCAUGGUCCGAGGAUGAAAGGCGCUCCGGCGUCGCCUGGGGAUGGCUUUGCGGUGCAUUAGCUAGUUGGUGGGGUAAUGGCCCACCAAGGCGACGAUGCAUAGCCGACCUGAGAGGGUGAUCGGCCACACUGGGACUGAGACACGGCCCAGACUCCUACGGGAGGCAGCAGUAGGGAAUCUUCCACAAUGGACGAAAGUCUGAUGGAGCAACGCCGCGUGAACGAUGAAGGCCCUCGGGUCGUAAAGUUCUGUUGUAAGGGAAGAACAAGUGCCGCAGGCAGUGGCGGCACCUUGACGGUACCUUGCGAGAAAGCCACGGCUAACUACGU
This 507-nucleotide ribosomal RNA is filed under the name uncultured bacterium. RNAcentral describes it as "partial 16S ribosomal RNA". It matches the Rfam family "Bacterial small subunit ribosomal RNA", at positions 28 to 506 of the family's 1533-position model. The record is from RNAcentral.